GAGGGUGCGAGCGUUAAUCGGAAUUACUGGGCGUAAAGCGCAUGCAGGUGGUUUGUUAAGUCAGAUGUGAAAGCCCGGGGCUCAACCUCGGAAUUGCAUUUGAAACUGGCAGACUAGAGUACUGUAGAGGGGGGUAGAAUUUCAGGUGUAGCGGUGAAAUGCGUAGAGAUCUGAAGGAAUACCGGUGGCGAAGGCGGCCCCC
Molecule: ribosomal RNA, 202 nt
Filed under: Vibrio parahaemolyticus
Lineage: Bacteria; Pseudomonadati; Pseudomonadota; Gammaproteobacteria; Vibrionales; Vibrionaceae
Description: partial 16S ribosomal RNA
Rfam family: Bacterial small subunit ribosomal RNA
Source: RNAcentral